GGGGGUAUAGCUCAAGUGGUAGAGCACAUGCUUAGCAUGCAGGAGGCCCUGGGUUCGAUCCCCAGUACUCCCA
Molecule: transfer RNA, 73 nt
Filed under: Camelus bactrianus (Bactrian camel)
Lineage: Eukaryota; Metazoa; Chordata; Mammalia; Artiodactyla; Camelidae
Also listed under: 2 other names
Rfam family: tRNA
About the family: Transfer RNA (tRNA) molecules are approximately 80 nucleotides in length. Their secondary structure includes four short double-helical elements and three loops (D, anti-codon, and T loops).
Source: Rfam by way of RNAcentral